Molecule: transfer-messenger RNA, 177 nt
Filed under: Klebsiella michiganensis
Lineage: Bacteria; Pseudomonadati; Pseudomonadota; Gammaproteobacteria; Enterobacterales; Enterobacteriaceae
Rfam family: transfer-messenger RNA
About the family: Bacterial tmRNA, also known as 10Sa RNA or SsrA, is named for its dual tRNA and mRNA-like properties. Its role is to liberate the mRNA from a stalled ribosome. To accomplish this part of the tmRNA is used as a reading frame that ends in a translation stop signal.
Source: RNAcentral
GGGGCUGAUUCUGGAUUCGACGGGAUUUGCGAAACCCAAGGUGCAUGCCGAGGGGCGGUUGGCCUCGUAAAAAGCCGCAAAAAAAUAGUCGCAAACGACGAAAACUACGCUUUAGCAGCUUAAUAACCUGCUCUGAGCCCUCUCUCCCUACGGGUUCAACUCCCGCCAGCUCCACCA